This 502-nucleotide ribosomal RNA is filed under the name uncultured bacterium. RNAcentral's name for it is "partial 16S ribosomal RNA". It matches the Rfam family "Bacterial small subunit ribosomal RNA", at positions 30 to 523 of the family's 1533-position model. The record is from RNAcentral.
AUUGAACGCUGGCGGAAUGCUUUACACAUGCAAGUCGAACGGCAGCAUAGGUGCUUGCACCUGAUGGCGAGUGGCGAACGGGUGAGUAAUACAUCGGAACGUGCCCAGUCGUGGGGGAUAACGUAGCGAAAGUUACGCUAAUACCGCAUACGAUCUACGGGUGAAAGCGGGGGACCGUAAGGCCUCGCGCGAUUGGAGCGGCCGAUGUCAGAUUAGGUAGUUGGUGGGGUAAAGGCCCACCAAGCCAACGAUCUGUAGCUGGUCUGAGAGGACGACCAGCCAAACUGGGACUGCGACACGGCCCAGACUCCUACGGGAGGCAGCAGUGGGGAAUUUUGGACAAUGGGCGGAAGCCUGAUCCAGCCAUUCCGCGUGCAGGAUGAAGGCCUGCGGGUUGUAGACUGCUUUUGUACGGAACGAAAAGCUCUGGGUUAAUACCCCGGGGUCAUGACGGUACCGUAAGAAUAAGCACCGGCUAACUACGUGCCAGCCGCCGCAGUAA